This 2219-nucleotide long non-coding RNA is filed under the name Gossypium barbadense (sea-island cotton). Its description in RNAcentral is "long non-coding RNA (GBAR_LNC014957)". The record is from RNAcentral. Lineage: Eukaryota; Viridiplantae; Streptophyta; Magnoliopsida; Malvales; Malvaceae.
CCCAAGUGACCAAAGCUCCUGCUUAGGCGAUACUGGAGUUAUUUUUUUCGCUAAGGAGCCGCUCAGGUGGCUCAAGCCACUGCUCAAGCCAUUACAGUAUUACACAUUUUUGAACAUUAACUAAUUUCUUAAGCCUUCAGCCACUACACCGUACCGAAGUUCCAAGUACUAUUUGACAUAUGAAAUAAGCAUAUUUAUACACAUUGAUGCCUUAAGUACAUGUCAUUCACAUUACAAUCUUUAUAUUCAUCACGAUACUUAGUCUACAUCCCACUAAUAUAAUACAAAUUACACUUUAACAUUUGAAAAACAACCUUAUAGGAUCAUCGGGUGAUGCGAUGCUUCGUAACUAUCAUAGCAACUUCUUGGCAAGUCUGCACCUACACGUUUUAAACCACUAACAGGUGAGCUAUAAAGCUUAAUAAGUAACAAGAAUAAUCAAAGUUUAUCCUAAGUCUUUAAUAACCUUGAGCUCUUUAGGCAAAUCAUCUUUUUGAGUUUAUUUAAGCCACAUUGUUAUUAAUUUAACCAUUUCAUGUGAAUUUGCAAGUUAAGCCUCAACUUAUAGCUUGAUAAUUUAUUGACUAUUUCUAUUAUGCAUGUAUUCCAGUUUUGACAAUUGAUUCAUUUAUGAAUCUUGCGCAAUUAUUAACUCACCUUAAUAACGCAUUAAGGCUUUCAAUCAUACCACAAUAUGUUAUGUCAUUCAUCUACACCACUUUCCUAGUAACUUAUAUUUCCAUUCAAUUCUUUACAAUUCAUAUAGCUUAUUAGCUUUUUAUUACGUACCAUUAUUAAUAUUCAUUUUCUUAUGUUCAUGGUCAAUCUUAUUAAUCAGUUUGCAAUUAAUUACACCAUGAGUAGACUCAAAGACAAAGGUUGGAUACUUGGGGCAUUAGUGUUCGAAAACCAUAACAGAAUCACACUAAAGUGCCAGUAAUAGAAGCACCAAAGUGCUGGAAACAAAAGUACAAAAGUACCAAAGUACUAGUAACAAAAGUCAUCUAUUGGGCAUGCUAAUCACAUCCUAGCUAACUCACUAAGUUACCAAGGCUUUGUUUUAUUAAUUCAAGUUAUCAGAAGAUUUCUUAUCAAAUUAUUAUUAGUUUCAGUGCAAUUUUCAUUUCAUUUUAAUUUUUAGUUUCAGUACAAAUUUCUCAAGGUAUUUAACACUCUACUCGGAUUUAGUAAGAUCACGUGACUUUUGCCACUUUAACAUAAAUCAAUAAAAUUUACAUGGUUCAUGCCAUUAAAAUAGAAAUUAGCAGUUAGUUUCAUUUCUCAUAAUAUGUGCAUAUUUAUCUUGGUUUUAAACAUGAUUUACAGUCCUUUAUAUUCUUUUAUUUCAGUUUUCGUAGCUCACACUACUUUUAGGCACCCAAAUGCCUUCACAUAUACAUUUCAUUUCGCAUUGUUAAUUAGGCCUUAUACAAGUUUUUAGUGUCAAUAUUAAGGUCUUUACAUUUUAACAUAAUUUAGCCAUAAUGACAUUAUUCAACCUUUUCAUAUUAAUGACAUGGUUCACACAUGUUCACUAAUACAUUAACAUGCCUAGAAUAUUUCCACUCAUAUCUUCUUCCAUAUUUUAGAGUUUUAUCAUACACAUCAUGCCAUGAAAUUUCACAUUUUUAUUAACAAUACUAAACACUUAAUUGCAACAUUAAUUCAUAACUUCAAGCUUACUAACUUAGGAGAAAGAAGAGUAUCCAUGAUACCUACCUCUAUGGAUGCUUUACAACACUAAAUCAAGCCUUCACAAGUUUUAUUCCACCAUAAAUCAAGUUUGAACAUCUAUUAACCACCAUUUCUUCAUUUUUCAUAAACCAAAAAUAUUACCAAUAAUUAAUAUAAAUUCAUUCCAAGCUUUUUCAUAUCAUUUCUCAACAAAUAUCAAUUAAUGGAGGUGUAGAAAACCAUUCUUACCAUUGUUGAAGGUUUCUCUCUCUAGCUUCAUCUUCCCUCGCAAAAGCUCCAUAAACCCUAAGCUAAAAUUGGUGAAAUUGAUGAUGGUAAUGAGUUUAGGAGGUAGUUUCCAUAGAGAUUUUAUUAAAAUCUUAAGAUGGGUAGUGGAAAUUUUGAGAGAAAUUGGUUAAAUGAGCAAGAAAAUGGAAGAAAGGAAGUGAACUUUUCAUAUUUUUUUUGUUGUUUUCGUUACAGAAGAAGAGAAUGAGCUGAUUUGUUUCCUUCCCAUCUUUAAAACACCAACAAAUGGGUUUUGG